AUGGCGUCUCCCGAAAUUCAUACUGAACUGAGCUCUUCAUGUAACAGUACUGAGCAGUUUCAGGGCUUCGCCCCAAGUGUAUCCGGAGAGCUCAGGGUCACAGGCCGCUGCCAGCUGACCUACUGUUCAAAGGUGGGGUCUGUAGGAAGAGGCGGCUCCCCGACAACUGGAAGGGCCGCGCCCUCCCCGGCUCCCCCUCACCUCUGCUCUUGCUGCUGGUCUUGCCCCGGCGACUUCCUCAUUUUCUCCUCCACGCCCCACAGCCCUGCAGUCCCGCCUUGGAGCCGGCCAACUGUGGGCUGGAAAAGGAACCAAAACAAACCUCUCCUCUUUGAAGUUACUGGUGUCAGAUAUUUUGUCCCAGCGACAGGAGGAAGCAGGCAGGCCUGGCGCUGGGGACGAACCCGGGGCCUUGCCCGUGCUAGGCUGUCGCAGACUCCAGCCCUUCCCUCUGCAGGGCGCCGCAGGAGGCGCCACCUUCGCCUCAGCGAAGUCCCGGCCUUGCCACCUCCACAGACGUGACGGAGGAACCGUAGCCCGUCCUCCGCCGGCCCGCU
RNAcentral lists this long non-coding RNA (557 nucleotides) under Fukomys damarensis (Damara mole-rat). Its description in RNAcentral is "lncRNA (ENSFDAG00000026725.1)". The record is from RNAcentral. Lineage: Eukaryota; Metazoa; Chordata; Mammalia; Rodentia; Bathyergidae.